RNAcentral lists this transfer RNA (77 nucleotides) under Enterococcus faecium. RNAcentral describes it as "tRNA-Thr". It matches the Rfam family "tRNA". Rfam says of the family: Transfer RNA (tRNA) molecules are approximately 80 nucleotides in length. The record is from RNAcentral. Lineage: Bacteria; Bacillati; Bacillota; Bacilli; Lactobacillales; Enterococcaceae.
AUCAGCUUUAGCUCAGCUGGUAGAGCGCUUCCAUGGUAAGGAAGAGGUCGCCGGUUCAAGCCCGGCAAGUGGCUUCC